AACGAACGCUGGCGGCAUGCCUAACACAUGCAAGUCGAACGAUGCUUUCGGGCAUAGUGGCGCACGGGUGCGUAACGCGUGGGAAUCUGCCCUUGUGUUCGGAAUAACAGUGAGAAAUUGCUGCUAAUACCGGAUGAUGUCUUCGGACCAAAGAUUUAUCGCCCAGGGAUGAGCCCGCGUAGGAUUAGCUAGUUGGUGGGGUAAUGGCCUACCAAGGCGACGAUCCUUAGCUGGUCUGAGAGGAUGAUCAGCCACACUGGGACUGAGACACGGCCCAGACUCCUACGGGAGGCAGCAGUGGGGAAUAUUGGACAAUGGGCGCAAGCCUGAUCCAGCAAUGCCGCGUGAGUGAUGAAGGCCUUAGGGUUGUAAAGCUCUUUUACCCGGGAUGAUAAUGACAGUACCGGGAGAAUAAGCUCCGGCUAACUCCGUG
This 433-nucleotide ribosomal RNA is filed under the name uncultured bacterium. Its description in RNAcentral is "partial 16S ribosomal RNA". It matches the Rfam family "Bacterial small subunit ribosomal RNA", at positions 29 to 507 of the family's 1533-position model. The record is from RNAcentral.